This 72-nucleotide transfer RNA is filed under the name Ovis aries (sheep). It matches the Rfam family "tRNA". From Rfam's summary of the family: Transfer RNA (tRNA) molecules are approximately 80 nucleotides in length. Their secondary structure includes four short double-helical elements and three loops (D, anti-codon, and T loops). The record is from Rfam by way of RNAcentral. Lineage: Eukaryota; Metazoa; Chordata; Mammalia; Artiodactyla; Bovidae.
UCCCAAGUGGCUCAGAUGGUAAAGCAUCUGCCUGCAAUGCAGAAGACCCGGGUAUGAUCCCAGGGUGGGGAA